UCCCAAGAGAUAGAGAAUUGAAGAUGUUAUUUUUUUUUUGAAAAUAAUGUCAAGGAGAUCCAAAUCUCUCAUAAUGAUGCUGUCGUUGUCUCUAUGACGAUAGCAAAAUAUGAUGUAAAAAGAGUUCUUGUUGAUAAUGGAAGCUUUAUUGAUGUAUUGUUCUAUGAUGCUUUCUCAAAAAUAAAUCUGGUCGGACAACUCAGGUG
This 206-nucleotide long non-coding RNA is filed under the name Elaeis guineensis (African oil palm). RNAcentral describes it as "long non-coding RNA (EGUI_LNC034684)". Lineage: Eukaryota; Viridiplantae; Streptophyta; Magnoliopsida; Arecales; Arecaceae. The record is from RNAcentral.